UUUUUAUUAAUUAACUUCCAAAAAUUAAUAUUUACGAUUGCAAAUUAAAAUCCAAACUCGAUAGUAAUCCGCAGUAAACAUAAGCCUCCCCCUCUCAUCGUCAUAAACCUUUUCGAAUUCGACGUUCCCCUGCGGCAAUCGGAGAAUCUAGGUUUUUUCUUCCGCACGAUUGGAGCCACGCCGAACGAUUCAGGUUUUGUGUAAAGUGUGUGUGUGAGGAGGAUCACUUCGUUAGAUGGAGAUCGACUCGCGUGCAAAUAAUUCUCUCCUCAAGAGACUUGCGUCUGUUGGGGUACCUAAGAAAUGCUGUUCCAAGCGUGGCUUAGUUGAAUUCAUUAGAGCUAACCGAUCCAGGACUUCGGAGAUCGUCUCCGCUCUCUUACCUACAGAUGAGGAUGUGAAAAUUGGAUUGAAGGGAACUAGGGAACGCUCUCGUUUGUCUGCGGUGAGUCCCACCAUGAAGAAGAGGUUCAGGGAGAGCAUGAGCUGGCUGCAGUGGCUGAUGUUCCACGACGAGCCUGGCGUUUCCUUGAAGAAUCUGGCGAAACUGAACGUUGAUCAGCGAGGCGUCUGCGGCUCCGUCUGGGGAGAAAACGACAUAGCGUAUCGGUGCAGGACGUGCGAGAGUGAUUCGACUUGCGCGAUCUGUGUGGCUUGUUUCGAGAAUGGCGAUCACAGCUCCCACGAUUAUUCGAUCACCUACACGAGCGGUGGCUGUUGUGAUUGUGGGGACGAUACGGCGUGGAAGCAAGAAGGUUUCUGUUCGAAUCAUAAAGGCUCCGAGCAGAUUCAGCCCCUCUCGGAGAAUCUAGCGGAGUCAGUUGGGCCUGUACUUGAUGCUCUUUUUGCUUGUUGGAAUAGCAAGCUCUUAUCCGCGGAAGGUAUUCGUAACAAAGAUGCUAGAUCCAACGAUGCUCUUGCGGUACGCCAAAAGAUGUCCAACGAGAUGACAUUCGCAGUGGUUGAGAUGCUUCUGGGGUUUUAUAAGUCCAGUGAGAGUUUGCUAAGUUUCGUUUCUAGAAGGAUUGUCGCUUCAGGUGGUUUAUUGAUACUUCUCGUAAAGGCUGAGAGGUUCUUGGACCAAGAUGUUAUGAAGAAACUGCAUGACUUGUUCCUCAAAUUGAUAGGAGAUCCAGUCUUUAAAUCGGAAUUUGCAAAAGCGCUUGUGAGUUACUAUCCGCUUGUCGUUAGUGGAGCGGUUAAGAAGGGUGAGGAUCCCAACUUCAUGAAAUAUCCAAUACUGCCUCUGUUUUCUGUGCAAUUCUUCACGGUGCCAACUCUAGCAACAGUUCUGGUGAACGAAAUGAAUUUGCUAGCAAUGCUUUUGGGAUGCCUCAGUGAUAUCUUUCUUUCUUGUUGUGGGGAGGAUGGUGUGCUACAGGCUACAAAGUGGGUACGGUUGUGUGACACAAGUGACCGUGUCAUUUCAGACUUGAAAUAUGUUAUGAGCCAUGCUGUAGUUUCGAAGUACGCAACACAUGAACAUCUGGAGUUAUCAAGAUCAUGGUUGAAACUAUUGACCUUUGUUCAAGGAAUGGAUCCUCUGAAAAGAGAGACUGGAAUCCAUAUUGAAGAAGAAAAUGAGAACGUGCAUUUGUUCUGUGAUUUGAGUCACUCAAUAGUUGGUAUUCACUCUCUGUUGGUUAAUGGUGCAUAUUCUCCUGCCAGUGAUGAACAAUUAGAAAUUGAGAGAACCACCAAGGCUACACUAAAUAAUUGUGAUGGAGUUGGAGAAAGGUAUGCAAAAGUUGGGAAAUUGUCUCAUGAAGAUUCUGUAUGUACUGCGAUGAUAAGUAGCAGCUUCUUUGAUAGCUCGAUGGCUUCUGAAGUUUACGGAGUUGACGCUUUCCAUGCCCUGAUUCCUUCCUCUGCCAUAUGGUUGAUACGCGAGUGUUUGAAAGUUCUGGAGACUUGCUUAGGAAAUGAUGAAGGUGUAUCAAAAUUUCUUGGCAAGUUUGUUUCUCCUAGCGGCAGAAGUGUAUCUAGUGGUCAUGCCAGUUCUAGUAGAGAACCGAGUACGGAGGUUCAGGCAGAUGUUAGGACUGAUUGUAGGAGAGUAUCUCGCAACUCUUCCGAUCCUACGCAGAAUGCAUCAGGAGUACAUAUACUUGGUUUGUGUGAUUGGCCGGACAUCCACUACGAUGUGAGCUUUCAGGCUAUAUCAGUCCAUCUACCGUUACACCGAUUAUUUUCUUUGCUCAUAGGAAAAGCAUUAAGGAUGUGUUAUGGAGAAUCAACUUUGCACCAUGGAGUCAAUGUUAGUCUUGAGAUCCCACAGGCCGACUUCUUCAGCUAUGUGUUAGGAGAUUUCCAUCCUUGUGGAUUUUCUGCACUUGUUAUGGAGCAUGUUCUCCGGGUAAGGGUGUUCUGUGCCCAAGUUAUCGCUGGAAUGUGGAAGAAGAAUGGGGACACUGCAUUAGUAUCUUGUGAGUGGUAUCGGUCAGUUCGUCGGUCAGAACAGGGGCUUGAACUUGAUAUAUUUUUCCUGCAAUGUUGUGGUGCGUUGGCUCCUCCAGAUUCUUACGUUAAUAAGCUUCUCAGUCGAUUUGGCCUCUCGAGCUAUCUUUCACUAAACCCCGAUAUAACAAAUGAGUAUGAACCAGUUUUGGUCCAGGAAAUGCUUGCUCUUCUGAUACAGAUUCUGCAAGAAAGGCGAUUUUGUGGUCUUUCUACUGCUGAAAGUUUGAGAAGAGAGAUCAUCUGCAAGUUGGCUACUGGAGAUUUCACUCGUAGUCAAUUGGUCAAAUCUUUACCCCGUGAUCUUUCCAAGUCGGAUGAGCUCCAGGAGGUCUUAGAUAACGUUUCAGACUAUUGUAAUCCAUCCGGCAUGAACCAGGGAAAGUAUUCGCUACGGUCAUCUUGUUGGAAGGAUUUGGAUCUCUAUCACCCUCGUUUGCAUUCAGGAGAAUUGCAAUCUGCAGAAGAAAGAUUUUCGCGCUAUUGUGGAGCGUCUGCGUUGACCACUCAGCUUCCUAGGUGGCGAAUGAUCUACCCGCCUCUAAAGGGGCUUUCUAGAAUAGGAACUUGCAAAGCCACUUUUCAAAUCAUUUCCUCUGCUUUAUACUACGCACUACAGGGUGGUAGUUCUGUUAAAUCACGUGCUCCAGAUGGCGUUCUCAUAACCGCUUUGCACUUACUCUCGCUAUCAUUGGAUAUUUGCACUCAACAAAGGGAGUCUAAUAUUCAGGCUUGUUGCGUAGAAGAUUCAAUUCCUAUUCUCGAAUUAGCUGGUGUGGAAAUAAUGGGUAUAAAUAAAAGGACUGGAAAUGAAAGUUUGUUGUCUCUUCUUGUUUCAUUAAUGAGGACUCGUAAAGACGAUGGUCUCCAUCAGUUUCCAGAGGCAGGCAGUUGCAAUAUUUCGUCCUGGAUUGCAAAGUUGCUGAAGAAGUUCAGUGCAAUUGAUUCCGUUAGUAUGAAGCUAUUGCAAAGUCUUGCCCCGGAGGUUGUCGGUCAAUCUGGAUUUGAUAAAGUCACGUCAGGCGCUGCUUCUGAUGCGAAACGCAAGGCUAAAGCUAGAGAGAGGCAGGCUGCUAUUCUGGCAAAAAUGAAAGCUGAACAAACAAAAUUCUUGUCGACCUUGAGUUCCAGCAUGGAUGAUGAUGAUCCAAGAUCUGAAACUGAAACAAGUGAUUCCGUAAUGGAACAGGAUUCAGAAAUUGCUGUUCGUGAAGUUUGUUCUCUCUGCCAUGACCCAGAUUCCAAAGACCCGGUUUCUUUCUUGAUUUUUCUCCAGAAAUCUAAACUUUUGAGUUUUGUGGAUAGAGGCCCUCCAUCUUGGGAUCAACGUUCACAGUCAGAAAAGAAUAGGUCCGUUGAUGGAGUUCGCGUGGUCCUGAGACGUAAUUUUUCCUCAGAUAGUUUAAUGAUUCCGCAUGAUGCAACCUCUGAGCCUGCUACAGAUUCCGUGUUUGAAGCUUUAACAACCCGGCUUAUAAGGAAUGGUCAGACGGAGAAGAGGUCUAGCGAUGGGAGUGGAAAAGAUGAAUCUAACAUGGAAUCAAUGGAAAUAGCUAUGUAUCAAACUGUUCGCAGAAAAAUUGAUAACAUUAUAAAUCAAAGCCUUGCACAUGUAGAUGAACGACCACUUGCUGCUGAAAGUAGUUCAGAGAGAAAUCCUGUUGGUGGUAUACCUACUUUGCAAGUAAGAGUUCGUGAUAUUCGAUCAAGACAAACCUCUAGACAUUCGGAUGUCAGUUCAGAUGGGUUUCACCCUACUGACUGUGAUGGGGUUUAUCUUUCAUCAUGUGGACAUGCUGUGCAUCAAAGCUGCCUUGAACGAUAUUUAAAGUCCUUAAUGGAAAGGUCUGACAGAAGAAAUGUCUUUGAAGGUGCACAUAUUGUGGAUCUAAAACAGGGGGAAUUUCUCUGUCCUGCAUGCCGGGGACUAGCUAAUUCUGUAUUGCCUGCAUGUCCCGGAGAUUUAUGUUCUGUCUCAAGUAUACAGGAAAGUUCGCAUGAUACGUUAGGUAAAUCAGAUGCACAGAUGCCUUCUCUUUGGCUCUCUGAAGCGUUGUGUCUACUACGAUCUGUGGCUGACGAGAUCGAAGAUGGUGAUGGCGUUAGCACAGUUUCUCUGGUGGGAGAUGAAUCAAUAAGGAAAGAUCUUGAAUCUGUUUCUAACAAGCUCUGGAAUUUCUAUUUUUCUAAGCGACAGGAAAAUUUUCCGGGAGGUCAUUGGCUAUCACAAUCAAUCGUAAUGUGGGAUACCCUUAAGUACUCUCUUAUUUCAAUGGAAAUUGUUACUCGAUGUGCGAAGAGUUCAGUGCUUCCUGUCUAUUGUAUUGACUCCUUGUAUGAAGAGUUAAAUACCUCUAAGGGAACUGCUUUGUCACUCUUAUUACGAGUGGUACAGAGCACCCGAACAAAGAAUACUUUACAUGUUUGUCAGAGAUUUGUGGGCUUGAAGCAUCUUGCAGAGUCUAUAUGCUCUGGAAUUUCAAAUAGUCCUUCGAGCAGCAUUUUUGGAACUGAAGCAGGUUCAAACCUGCUCUGGAAUCGAUCAUCUGAUCCAGUUCUUUUCCAUGACCCAUUUUCAUCACUGAUGUGGGCUCUUUUUUGUCUCCCUUCUCCUUUCAUCACAUGCAAGGAAUCUUUAUUAUCACUUGUGCAUAUUUUCUAUAGCGUGUCUCUUGUUCAGACUGUAAUUGCCUAUUGCGCAGGUCGCAUGUUUGACUUGAGUAACGUAGAUAACCUGCUUAGCGACAUCUCCAUCGCUUUGAGAGAAUCAGGUGGUUGGGAGUAUUUCAGGUCUAACAAUAUGGAUUUAUCAUGUGAUAUAAAAGAGACUAUCCGUAAAUAUAGUCUUCCUUUCUUGAGGAGAUGUGCAUUGCUGUGGAGGCUACUGAAAACUACCACUUCUGGAAAGCUUCAUGAAGAGGUAGAUAAGUUUGAUGAGUCCACCAGUGACAGUAUGGAUUUCAUGCACAGUCCCCUGUCGGAGCUGAAUCAUGUGAAUGAAUUGGAGAAAAUGUUCAAGAUUCCGCCUAUUGAUACCAUUCUCAGUGAUGAACUUCUCCGGUCCUCAACACAAUCAUGGCUUGGACAUUUCCAGAAGGAAUACAAAGUAUACAGAGUUAAAGAGCCUCUUUGCAUAACACCUGUAGUUCCUUUCCAGCUUAUGAAGUUACCCAAUUUAUACCAGGACCUAUUGCAAAGGUAUAUCAAGAAACCUUGCAGCAACUGCAAGACAGUUAUGGAAGAACCUGCAUUAUGUCUUCUUUGUGGAAGAUUGUGUUCUCCCAUAAAGCCACCUUGUUGCAGAGAAAGUGGUUGUCAGACUCAUGCAGUCACCUGUGGUGCUGGUACUGGUGUAUUUCUUCUGAUACGGCGGACCACAAUUUUGCUACAAAGAUUUGGAAGACAAUCAUCUUGGCCAUCACUUUACUUGGAUACGUUUGGAGAAGAAGAUACUAAUAUGUUCAGAGGAAAACGACUAUACCUGAAUGAAGAACGUUACGCUGCGUUAACAUACAUGGUUGGUUCUCAUGGACUCGAUCACAGCUCCUAAGUUCUCAAUCCAACGACGCUAGGAAUUUUCUUAACUUGAAAAAGAUCUUUAUAUCUUUUUUUCUCUCAGCCACAUCAUCAGGAAGGUAUGGGCUUUUUGUGACACCUAUCACUUAACCAAUUCAAUCGUAAAAUCAUAAAAUCUUCAGUAAAUUUUCAGAAACUUGAAGCGCCUUUCUGAUCUCCAUAACGUCUCAACCUUCCAUUAAUAUGUUUCUAACUCCGCUUGAUUAAUCCACUCCUCCCAUUGGAAGCAUUCAGUCAGACCUCUUCGCAUCUCCCUUCACUACUCCUAUCUAAAUUCAUCCAAUCUUUCAUGCAAUCAGAAUCGUGUUCCUCUAGAGGAGCAGAAGAUAAAGUCAUGGCCAUGAGUUUUGUUAGAUCCACCGGAAAAUCUUGAAUUUCUACGGUUCCAAAGGCAAAGCGAUUUAUCAGGUUUGUGUUUACUCCAUUCAUUUUCAUUAUUAAUCUCUUUUCUAAACCCGCGUUCCGAUCCUGUCGGAGCUCCACCCGUGACCACCAUGAGAUCAAUAUCAGUCCUCAAGCUUCAUUUGGCAGGGGAAUAAUUUUGAAAAACGUCAAAUGCGGUGGAAAGACUUUCCGUCACCGGCUGAUCCGGAAAUCAAGUGAUUGAAUCACGAGCAGGGAAAGAUGGGUUUGGGUUUGAUCUUGGACGCAACGAAGGAUGAUGAACCAGAUCCAUAUACUCGCGGACAUGGUGGGUACUUAGUUAGUCUCGGACCCGAUAUGCUACUUUUUAAAGAUCACUUUCUCCUCAAUUUGUUCGUUUAUGUCCUCUUCUAUAAAGCAUUGAUUUUAAGAUAAGAACUAUUGAGCUUGAUACCAAACGCAUCAAGCUCCAGAUUUGGGAUACUGCUGGUCAAGAACGUUUUCGAACCAUCACCACUUGUCAGUGUACUUUCGUUCUAAUAGUGUUCUUAGCGUCCGUUGUCCCACUGAAAACUGAAUUAGAGAGGAUUGAGAGUCACUAGCAGAAAGGAUCUCUUUUUUUCUUUCUGUGCAGUCUACUUAAUGCUAUGGAUGAUGCUUUGAGGAUAUUUAGUUUUUCUUAUUCAACAAAGAAGAUACUUCUCUCACAUUUUUGUCUCCGUAUGAUAAGUUAGUAUUUCACUGAUUUUGUUUUGAUAUUGUUGUUACUUUGUUUCCUUUCUUAUGGGUCUCAUUUUCACAUAAUCUCUUCUUGUCUACAUGCAUUUUUCAUCCAAGCCUCAGUGAACAGAAGCAACAACGAUUUCAAGCUUUUAGAUUCAAUCGUUGCGAUCUGACUCCACGAGUUUACUAAGUUGGUCAAAGUCCAUGCUGUUGCUAAUCCCAUCCCAACUGAGAUGUUCAUGUUUCGUGAGCUCGAGCAAGUGAUGGCGUUGACAAAUACAAAUGUCGAGUUGCAGACAUCAUUGAUGAGAUUUGCGAGACCAUGACAACAUACGAUGAUCAAAGCCAUACGACUCAAUGUGUGAUGGUGAACAUCCGAGUUGAUAAGGACAUGAUUGUCUGCUUAAGCGUUUUUGACAGCCUUACUGAACUCCUUCACAAAAGACUGGAAACUGGUGUCUGCCAGGCUAGAGUGAUGAUGCGACCAGCAACAACCCCAAGUUUGUAGGAGAUUGUGUGCCACAGCCGGUGGUGACUCCACCAGUGUGACACAGUAAGGUGGUGUCAAGGAGCUGGAGACUGUUUCAUUAGCGGAGUUGACGACCUACUUUCUGAAGUCGCCACCACAAGCAGGUUAUUGAGUUUCUAUACACCACCAAAGUUUUAUAGGAACUACAAACAGAUGGUGCUACAUCUCAUGUGCCAAGUGUUUCAGAAAACUACAGCGUGAAAUUUCCUAACGCAAGUGCUGUUAAUGUUCUCAGGUGAAGCGGGUGAAGAUUGGGCUGUAUUGUAGCAUCUGUAUGAGUAAUGUGAGAAAUGUCAGGGCUGUAGAGGUUCCUCAUCCAAUGGGACAAGGUGAGGAGCAAGACCCAAGGAACCCAUCCAAAAAAGCCUGGACUUAGUUUCCUGCAUUGAGCACUAUACAGGAACAUAUCCAUUGGUUUCUCCCAUGGUUAAUUGAACUCACUUUAUGUUUUCCAAAUAAGGGUUAAGACACUUAGUCCACCAUCUAAUUCAAGAUUUCUCUCCCUUUUGGUUCGGUUACUUAGUAAACAUUUGGGUUGUUAAUUUUACAUAUAUAUAUAUAUAUAUAUAUAUAUAUAUGCAAGCACUCCUUACCAAAUCCACUAUGAAAACAAAAUUAAAAAAUCCA
RNA transcript from Brassica rapa (field mustard), 8275 nucleotides. It is a transcript of the gene named E3 ubiquitin-protein ligase PRT6, with no coding region annotated. The record is from RefSeq and is a predicted model, not a curated record. NCBI's taxonomy places the organism in Eukaryota, Viridiplantae, Streptophyta, Magnoliopsida, Brassicales, Brassicaceae.